CCUACGGGUGGCAGCAGUGGGGAAUAUUGGGCAAUGGGCGCAAGCCUGACCCAGCAACGCCGCGUGAAGGAAGAAGGCUCUCCGGUUGUAAACUUCCUUUAUCAGGGACGAAGCAAGUGACGGUACCUGAUGAAUAAGCCACGGCUAACUAUGUGCCAGCAGCCGCGGUAAUACGGAGGUGGCAAGCGUUAUCCGGAUUUACUGGGUGUAAAGGGAGUGUAGGCGGGAGUGCAAGUCAGAUGUGAAAAUUAUGGGCUCAACCCAUAGCCUGCAUUUGAAACAGGAAUUCUUGAGUGCUGGAGAGGCAGUCGGAAUUCGGGGUGUAGCGGUGAAAUGCGUAGAUAUACGGAGGAACACCAGUUGCGAAGGCGGAUUGCUAGACAGUCACUGACGCUGAGGCGCGAAAGCGUGGGGAGCAAACAGGAUUAGAUACCCCAGUAGUC
This 443-nucleotide ribosomal RNA is filed under the name uncultured bacterium. RNAcentral describes it as "partial 16S ribosomal RNA". It matches the Rfam family "Bacterial small subunit ribosomal RNA", at positions 338 to 795 of the family's 1533-position model. The record is from RNAcentral.